This is a long non-coding RNA of Seriola dumerili (greater amberjack), 287 nucleotides long. RefSeq lists it as uncharacterized. NCBI's taxonomy places the organism in Eukaryota, Metazoa, Chordata, Actinopteri, Carangiformes, Carangidae. The record is from RefSeq and is a predicted model, not a curated record. The transcript is spliced from 4 exons.
GCGCGUUGUGUCGCUACGGCAGCAUCGCGUGGGAAAGCGGAUAUAGCACCGUUACAGCCUACACACACGUUUCCCAUGAAGAAUGAUGAUGAGGACAAACGAGGCUUGACAGUCCGCUGACGUGAAUUCCCGCUCCUCCUCUCGCCACUGGCUCAAGGAGAACAGCUUCAUCUGCGUACUGGUGAGGCUGCCCAGAGCAGGAGAAGCAGGAAAGAGCUGCCUUUUCAGAGGGAGGAUCAGAUCUGAGACACAGAGAGAGAGAGAGAGCGAGAGAGAGAGGGGGGGAG